UGUGCAGCCACAUAAAGAAAAAGAAAAAAAAAGAAACAGUACCAAUGAGAUAUAUCCAGAAAUCUAAGACUAUUAUAAUACUAGAAAAUCUGGUUGUAUAAUUUGUGUGCUUAUUAAGUACAGAAGAAAAAUAAAAUCCUACAGUAAUCAUCAUAGUAAAUGGUGAAAUGUUAAAAAAAAAAAAAAAAAUUCCUUUGUUCUCACUGUGGCUCAUCAGAUUAAGGAUACAACAUUGUCUUUGUGAAGAUGUAGGGUCAAUCCCUGACCUUUUCAGGGGUUAAGGAUCUGGUAUUGCCAUGGCUAUGGCACAGGCCACAGUUACAGCUCCAAUUUGACCCCUAACUCAGGAAAUUCCAUAUGCUGCAAUUUUGGUGGUAAAAGAAAAAAAUAAUAAAAUCAGAAAUAAGACCAUAAUACUCACUGCCAACACUUCUAUUAAACUUCUAGCAGUGGAAUUUCUUUAAAAAUUAGUAAAAUAAAAGGUAUGAGGUUUGAAAGGCAAAAAAUAGUAUUUUCCUUAUUUAUAGGGGUCAUUUCUCUAUAAAAAUGACUCUAAAAACAAAGUUUUUGAAUUAGUAACAGUUUGGCAAAGUUACUGGAUUAAAGAUCAAUAUAUAAAAAUCAAUUACAUUUUAGUAGAAUUUGAAAUUGUGAUUUUAAAAUAUCACUGUAAAUAUAACAAUACAAAUAUGGUAAGAAUCAAUAAAUGAUAUUUGAACAAUUGAUUUUCAAGUUAGAAAAAAUAAAGUUUAAUUCACAUAUCACACCAUACACAGAAAUAAACUCCAGGUAGAUUAAAGACUUUAUUACAAAAGGAAAACUUUAAAACUCUCAUAAGAAAAUUUAAUAAUAUAUUCGUGAUCUUUGUAUAAAAACGUAUUAUUCAUGCAAGAUAGAAAAAGCACUACCCAAUAUUUCCUUUAGGAAAUAUUGAAAGACUUGUCUAUAUUAAAAUUCAAAACUUUUGUUUAUUAAAGACGCCAUUUCAGAAGUGAAAAGACAGGCCACAGGAGAAUAUAUUUGAAACACAUGUAACCAAUAAUGGACUAAUAUUGAAAAUAUAUAAAUAUUUUUAAGUGCUUCCUAAAAAUCAAUACAAAAAUUAUAAAUAAUCCAAUAGAAAAAGGUUCCAAGGAUAUAUAUAGAUAUUUUACAGAAGAGGAUGAAUGAAUGGCCCACAGACACAUGCAAUAUAUAAACAGAGAAAUACAAAUACAAACCUCACUGAGAUACCCAUCUGAUUGGCAAUUUUGUUAAAAUAAGUCUGACAAAACCAAAUGUUCCAAUGAGUGGAACAAUGAGAAUUCAAGUAUUCCUCACUGAAAUAUAAAUUAAUAUAAUAAUUUUAGAAAACAUAUUAAUACAUUUGAAGAUGUGUAACUCUAUGACUCCCAAAUUUUACUCUUGGAUAUAUGCCAAAAAAAAAAUUUCAUCAGCAUUGUAUAAAAUAUCAAAAACAAAGAAAACACAAACAAAAAACAGCUAUAAUAAAUAGAUAAGUUUUGGAAAUAGCUAUAAUAAAUAGAUAAGUUUUGGAAAUAGCUAUAAUAAAUAGAUAAGUUUUGGUAUAUUUAUACAAUGGAACAUUAUAUAUCAUUGAUGAGUGAAAAACACUAUGUACAUUAACAUGGAUAAAAUCCGCUAAUAAAAAUCUGAAACUCAAAAAAAAUGGAAGUCACAAAAGAAUACAUAUUUAAUGAUAUUCUUUAUAUAAAGUUCAAAAGCAUGGAAAACAAAGCAAUAUAUAUUCAGGGGUUUUUUGUUCAAAAUGCUCACUAUCCUUUCAAUCUUUUUUGUGGAUUAUACUUCCUACAAUGCCACUGUCAGUUUCAGACAUAUGACCUAACUUUAGCCAAAUGAAUGUGAGCAGAAGUGAUGUUGGUCACUUUUGAGGAGAAACUUGAAGAAUCAUCAUGUGGUUCUGCCGCCACCCUUCUCCAUCUGCCAGAGUGUGGUGUGUCCCAUAUAGAGGCUACUCUCCUCAUUCUGGAAAAGGACAAGGGAAUAAAGCUUCAGCCAACACACAGCCAGUGUAGAACUAUGUAACAUGAACAGAAAAUAAUUUUUUGUCAGCUAUAGAGAUUUAGAAAUUGUUACCUCAAAGCAGAUACUGCCAUAACAAAACCCCUAAAAUAUGUCCCACUGACUUUGUGGCAGAGUGGUGGGUAGCAAGGAACCUAUUAUUAGAGACUGGAAGGAUGACAACCCACUAUGCAGUGGUGAAUCAUAUAAUGAAACUAUAGCUACAAUAACAUAAAGAGAAGAUACUGUACCGAGUGAUUUUGUGAUCUUAGGCAAAGAGAUUUAGGAAACAGAACAUUACUAGCAUGUGCCAGUUGCUACUGGCUGCAUUUGACAUGGCAGUACAGAAAAAGAAAGGGACCUCUCACAAAGGGUUUGGCCAGUUUGUAAAGAAAGAAAUGAAAGAAAGCCAGAAAGCUGAGGAUUUAGAGGGUUGGAAGAUGCAAUUUAUUCUCAUAUCCCAAAAUAAAACUAGGAAUGCCCCUGAGUGACAAAAUCUGAUUAAAACUCAGCUUUGCAGAGUCAUAGAGUGAAUCAAAGGUGUUAGAAGUGCCUUAGGUUGAAUUAAUUGUGAUGAUAGCUGGUAAAUCUUUUCAGGUACAAAAAUGACUUAAAAGAGCCUAUGAGUCUAGAUCCCUCACAGAAUUCUGAUAAGCUAAAAUGAAACAAAACAAAACAAAACCUUCUGUGUAAGUUUGGAGAAAGAGACUCAUGUCUUGAAAAGUAUUGUUAGUGUGGCUCUUGGCACAAAAAGCUGAUGAAGUUAUUGAGAGAAUUUCACUGCCAAAUUAGCCAUCAGCCUAGAUUAAAAGAGUCUAUGUCUGUUGUCUAAGAGUAAGAAGCAAGAAAAUCUUAGCUCCCAAGGGAGCAUAUUCUCCAAUGCCCUUUGCAGAUAUGGUCCAAUGAGAGUAAAGAAAAAGAACUGCCUAGAGGGUGAAGUCAAAGGCUCUCUGUAACCAUGGACUGGGGAGCUAGAUACAGAGAGUAGACUGAACCUCAUCAGGAGGCAUUUCUUCCACCCAUGGUGGAGGGCCCUCACAACAUUUGCCCAGUGGGAUUUCAGAAUUGCUAUGUUCAGCAGACAGUUUUAGUUUUAGUUCAUGGGGCUACAAAUGAAGAGGAACUAUAUCUGGACCUGAUGUUAAAGUGAUCACAGAAUCUUGAACCUAGAAUCUGAUGCUAUGAGGGGCUACAUCAUUUAAGCUGUUUUCCUCAGGGAUGGGGAGAGUAUAUUAUUACAUGAAAGAGUGAGAAAUGAAUAUUUGUGAUGAAGAGAAAAAACUGGCCAAUUUUAUUGUUGUUUCCCACUAGUCACUACCAUUUACUACAGGGGAUUAUACAUUCCUGUCUUUGGCCAUGUUUCUUGUAGCAUCCUUCCCUGCGAUAUAUCCUCCUUCUUAUAACAGGUUCAGUCAGUGAAAUGAGAUGGAACUGAUUUGUUCCAUUUCCAGCAGAAGUUUUAAGAGCCAUCACAUGCUUUUGCUACUGCUCUUUUCCUUUUGCAGUGAGGCUAAGGUGGGCCUGAGUCCUGGAAUGAAGAUAACACAGAACAAAGUCAAAGCUGACUCACAGACACAUAGUCUACCUGUACCAAAUGUGUACU
This 3625-nucleotide long non-coding RNA is filed under the name Sus scrofa (pig). Its description in RNAcentral is "lncRNA (ENSSSCG00105005971.1, ENSSSCG00110002187.1)". The record is from RNAcentral. Lineage: Eukaryota; Metazoa; Chordata; Mammalia; Artiodactyla; Suidae.